RNAcentral lists this ribosomal RNA (211 nucleotides) under Escherichia coli. Its description in RNAcentral is "partial 16S ribosomal RNA". It matches the Rfam family "Bacterial small subunit ribosomal RNA", at positions 1 to 216 of the family's 1533-position model. Lineage: Bacteria; Pseudomonadati; Pseudomonadota; Gammaproteobacteria; Enterobacterales; Enterobacteriaceae. The record is from RNAcentral.
UUAAAUUGAAGAGUUUGAUCAUGGCUCAGAUUGAACGCUGGCGGCAGGCCUAACACAUGCAAGUCGAACGGUAACAGGAAACAGCUUGCUGUUUCGCUGACGAGUGGCGGACGGGUGAGUAAUGUCUGGGAAACUGCCUGAUGGAGGGGGAUAACUACUGGAAACGGUAGCUAAUACCGCAUAACGUCGCAAGACCAAAGAGGGGGACCUU